GUAGGUGGCAAGCGUUGUCCGGGAAUUAUUGGGGCGUAAAGCGCGCGCAGGCGGUUCUUUAAGUCUGAUGUGAAAGCCCACGGGCUCAACCGUGGAGGGUCAUUGGAAACUGGAGAACUUGAGUACAGAAGAGGAAAGCGGAAUUCCACGUGUAGCGGUGAAAUGCGUAGAGAUGUGGAGGAACACCAGUGGCGAAGGCGGCUUUCUGGUCUGUAACUGACGCUGAGGCGCGAAAGCGUGGGGAGCAAACAGGAUUAGAUACCCUGGUAGUCCACGCCGUAAACGAUGAGUGCUAAGUGUUAGGGGGGUUUCCGCCCCUUAGUGCUGCAGCUAACGCAUUAAGCACUCCGCCUGGGGAGUACGGCCGCAAGGCUG
This 375-nucleotide ribosomal RNA is filed under the name uncultured organism. Its description in RNAcentral is "partial 16S ribosomal RNA". It matches the Rfam family "Bacterial small subunit ribosomal RNA", at positions 527 to 896 of the family's 1533-position model. The record is from RNAcentral.